This is a long non-coding RNA of Thalassophryne amazonica, 1226 nucleotides long. RefSeq lists it as uncharacterized. The transcript is spliced from 3 exons. NCBI's taxonomy places the organism in Eukaryota, Metazoa, Chordata, Actinopteri, Batrachoidiformes, Batrachoididae. The record is from RefSeq and is a predicted model, not a curated record.
CAAACUGGUACCACAGUAGAGACAUGCCGAGGUUGCUGGAGUUGAUGGAGGAGUUACUGGUUUGAUCCAGAGUGACAUUCAACAUGGUGGCAUUGGACGAACACGCUGCUGUCUGAGAAAGAUGAUUAUCAGAUUCAUCAUAUCCUACAACAAUACCCUCAGAACAGCUGUUUAAGUGAAAUGAUGUCAUUCCCGCAUUGUACCGUGGCGGAGUUCACCGUGCUGUAGACCUCAACUCGUCCAGUCCCUGCAGCGAAUGCUUCUUCCAGAACUUCCACAGAGGUUUAUAAUCCAGAGCCGCUGGGACUCCUACCUCCUUUUGGAUUGGUCCACCAUCUGCGGUUGCGACAGUCCUUCCCCAUCUUCAUGUCUGACGCCAGCUGUGAUUGGGCAGUGAUAGAGACACAAGGUGCGGCGAGGUCUUCAGUGAUUGGACAGUCUGCUGGACAGAAGAUUCUGAUCUAAACGAUCUCUGCUGUUGGGUUGAUGAAUACCGGCGGUGUCCAGUGCUGUCAGUAACUACCGCUACGUUUGCAGCGUCAGGAGAGGACAGAAGUUCAGAAAUGUGUAAGAAGACAUUUACUUGUAUGACAGGAAACAAACUUCUCACUGAAAACACAUUGAAGGACACUUUACUGGAGUUUUACGUGACAAAAAUCUUUAAUGUUUAUGUGACAUGAACCCCUUUCAAAUGAAAAGUGUUUCUCUCCCUCAGUAGCUUCUGUAAACGGGUCGGCGUGCCAGAGCCGCACGGCCAUCCGCAACACCGCGGCACCAACAUCUAAACUGACACCAGCAGCACACACACAAGAGGCUGCACGGUAGCGGGAACAACACCUCAUUAUAAACAGGUUUGUGUUCUCCUGAAGGAGACGAGUGCGUUGUUGCCAGUUUCUAGCAAAGCUGUUGAUUUUGACACAAUUCAGGCCAAAGUAGUGAUUGAGCUGAUGUGCUUUGUGUUUGUGGUGGAUGUAAUGUUAGCAGGCAUCAGUCAGGUGUUCUGUGCUUCCUCUGGAAGCUAACGUAACUUAAAUGGCGCCCCCUGGAGUUCAUAUCAAUACCAAGGCCCAAGUGUGCACGUGCCAAGUUAAAAACAAAUUCUUUAAACUCUCGAUGGACAUUAACAACGUCCGCCACUGGUGCUGUUGCCCAACAGGGUGCUGGUGGAAAUUGGGCAACUGCUGGGUGAAGACGACAAAGAAGAAGAGGAGAACAUUUCCACAAAC